This 452-nucleotide ribosomal RNA is filed under the name uncultured bacterium. RNAcentral describes it as "bacterial SSU rRNA". It matches the Rfam family "Bacterial small subunit ribosomal RNA", at positions 28 to 507 of the family's 1533-position model. The record is from RNAcentral.
GAUGAACGCUGGCGGCGUGCCUAACACAUGCAAGUCGAGCGAUUUACUUCGGUAAAGAGCGGCGGACGGGUGAGUAACGCGUGGGUAACCUGCCCUGUACACACGGAUAACAUACCGAAAGGUAUGCUAAUACGAGAUAAUAUGCUUUUAUCGCAUGGUAGAAGUAUCAAAGCUUUUGCGGUACAGGAUGGACCCGCGUCUGAUUAGCUAGUUGGUAAGGUAACGGCUUACCAAGGCGACGAUCAGUAGCCGACCUGAGAGGGUGAUCGGCCACAUUGGAACUGAGACACGGUCCAAACUCCUACGGGAGGCAGCAGUGGGGAAUAUUGCACAAUGGGCGAAAGUCUGAUGCAGCAACGCCGCGUGAGCGAUGAAGGCCUUCGGGUCGUAAAGCUCUGUCCUCAAGGAAGAUAAUGACGGUACUUGAGGAGGAAGCCCCGGCUAACUACGUG